UACAGAGGUCUCAAGCGUUGUUCUGAUUCAUUGGGCGUAAAGGGUGCGUAGGUGGCGCCGUAAGUCAGGUGUGAAAUUUCGGAGCUCAACUCCGAAACUGCAUUUGAUACUGCGGUGCUUGAGGACUGGAGAGGAGACUGGAAUUCACGGUGUAGCAGUGAAAUGCGUAGAUAUCGUGAGGAAGACCAGUGGCGAAGGCGGGUCUCUGGACAGUUCCUGACACUGAGGCACGAAGGCCAGGGGAGCAAACGGG
Molecule: ribosomal RNA, 253 nt
Filed under: uncultured bacterium
Lineage: Bacteria
Description: partial 16S ribosomal RNA
Rfam family: Bacterial small subunit ribosomal RNA
Source: RNAcentral